AACCUGCCCUGUACAGGGGGAUAACACUUAGAAAUAGGUGCUAAUACCGCAUAAGCGCACAGUAUCGCAUGAUACAGUGUGAAAAACUCCGGUGGUACAGGAUGGACCCGCGUCUGAUUAGCUGGUUGGCGGGGUAACGGCCCACCAAGGCGACGAUCAGUAGCCGGCCUGAGAGGGUGAACGGCCACAUUGGGACUGAGACACGGCCCAAACUCCUACGGAAGGCAGCAG
This 231-nucleotide ribosomal RNA is filed under the name uncultured bacterium. RNAcentral describes it as "partial 16S ribosomal RNA". It matches the Rfam family "Bacterial small subunit ribosomal RNA", at positions 123 to 354 of the family's 1533-position model. The record is from RNAcentral.